Molecule: unclassified non-coding RNA, 376 nt
Filed under: soil metagenome
Description: partial contains 5.8S ribosomal RNA, internal transcribed spacer 2, and large subunit ribosomal RNA
Rfam family: 5.8S ribosomal RNA (bases 1-120)
Source: RNAcentral
GAUGAAGAACGCAGCGAAAUGCGAUAAGUAAUGUGAAUUGCAGAAUUCAGUGAAUCAUCGAAUCUUUGAACGCAUCUUGCGCUCCUUGGUAUUCUGAGGAGCAUGCCUGUUUGAGUGUCAUUAAAUUCUCAACUACACUGACUUUGAAUUGGUGUGGCUUGGAUUUGGGGGGAAAAUUGUUGUGGGCUUUUUGUAUAGUCUGCUCCCCUGAAAUUGUUUAGCGGUACCUUUGUGGAACUGUCUACAGGUGUGAUAAUUAUCUACAUCUUAGACAUCUGCUGGAAUGCUGCUUUCUAAACCUUACUUGUAUUGACAAUCUUGACCUCAAAUCAGGUAGGACUACCCGCUGAACUUAAGCAUAUCAAUAAGCGGAGGA